RNAcentral lists this ribosomal RNA (402 nucleotides) under uncultured bacterium. Its description in RNAcentral is "bacterial SSU rRNA". It matches the Rfam family "Bacterial small subunit ribosomal RNA", at positions 355 to 774 of the family's 1533-position model. The record is from RNAcentral.
UGGGGAAUAUUGCACAAUGGGGGAAACCCUGAUGCAGCAACGCCGCGUGAGUGAUGACGGCCUUCGGGUUGUAAAGCUCUGUCUUCAGGGACGAUAAUGACGGUACCUGAGGAGGAAGCCACGGCUAACUACGCGCCAGCAGCCGCGGUAAUACGUAGGUGGCAAGCGUUGUCCGGAUUUACUGGGCGUAAAGGGAGCGUAGGCGGACUUUUAAGUGAGAUGUGAAAUACCCGGGCUCAACCUGGGUGCUGCAUUUCAAACUGGAAGUCUAGAGUGCAGGAGAGGAGAGUGGAAUUCCUAGUGUAGCGGUGAAAUGCGUAGAGAUUAGGAAGAACACCAGUGGCGAAGGCGACUCUCUGGACUGUAACUGACGCUGAGGCUCGAAAGCGUGGGGAGCAAACA